RNAcentral lists this ribosomal RNA (259 nucleotides) under uncultured Leptotrichia sp. Its description in RNAcentral is "partial 16S ribosomal RNA". It matches the Rfam family "Bacterial small subunit ribosomal RNA", at positions 96 to 354 of the family's 1533-position model. Lineage: Bacteria; Fusobacteriati; Fusobacteriota; Fusobacteriia; Fusobacteriales; Leptotrichiaceae. The record is from RNAcentral.
UGGCGGACGGGUGAGUAACGCGUAAAGAACUUGCCCUUUAGACUGGGAUAACAGAGGGAAACUUCUGAUAAUACUGGAUAAGUUAGUAUAUCGCAUGAUAUACAAAUGAAGGCUACGGCACUAAAGGAGAGCUUUGCGUCCUAUUAGCUAGUUGGUAAGGUAAGAGCUUACCAAGGCGAUGAUAGGUAGCCGGCCUGAGAGGGUGGACGGCCACAAGGGGACUGAGAUACGGCCCUUACUCCUACGGGAGGCAGCAGGA